This 497-nucleotide long non-coding RNA is filed under the name Lathyrus oleraceus (garden pea). RNAcentral's name for it is "Pisum sativum (pea) long non-coding RNA (PSAT_LNC029228)". Lineage: Eukaryota; Viridiplantae; Streptophyta; Magnoliopsida; Fabales; Fabaceae. The record is from RNAcentral.
GAGAACGAGUCUGCUACUAUUCCAAUUUUUCUUUUUUUUAUUUAUUUCAUUUUAAAUAGGAUAGGUUUUUGAAAAUAUUAAGGAUUUUGUUUAAAAUUCCUAAGAUAUCAGUUAAUAAUUGUUUUAUGUUUUCAACUUAUCCCUCAUUGAAAAACCCAACAGCCAAGCGGUUGGGUUUAACUACUGGUAGUCCAACAGACUUUUUUUUAUUUUAGUUUUUAUUCUAAUGUUUAAUCUAUUUUGGUUUAUAUAUUUAAAGUAGCAUCAAAAUAAUAAAUAACCAUGAGUGGUCUGGUGGAAAAGGGUAGUAUCAUAGUCUUGAGUGGGGUGGGUUUAAUGCUCAUGUGUAGCAUUUUUUUAGUAUUUUAUUUUUCUUUUAGCAUUUUAUUUUCUUUUAGCAUUUUAUUUUCUUUUAGUAUUUUAUUUCUUUUAACAUUUUUUUGUUAUGUUUAUGCUUUAUUAUUUUCAUAGUUUCAUUAUCAUAACAUAGAUUUGUU